AGCAGUCGCCACGGUAAUACAGAGGGUGCGAGCGUUAAUCGGAUUUACUGGGCGUAAAGCGUGCGUAGGCGGCUUUUUAAGUCGGAUGUGAAAUCCCUGAGCUUAACUUAGGAAUUGCAUUCGAUACUGGGAAGCUAGAGUAUGGGAGAGGAUGGUAGAAUUCCAGGUGUAGCGGUGAAAUGCGUAGAGAUCUGGAGGAAUACCGAUGGCGAAGGCAGCCAUCUGGCCUAAUACUGACGCUGAGGUACGAAAGCAUGGGGAGCAAACAGGAUUAGAUACCCCCGUAGUCCCUGUCUCUUAUAA
RNAcentral lists this ribosomal RNA (303 nucleotides) under uncultured bacterium. RNAcentral's name for it is "partial 16S ribosomal RNA". It matches the Rfam family "Bacterial small subunit ribosomal RNA", at positions 507 to 809 of the family's 1533-position model. The record is from RNAcentral.